AACGAACGCUGGCGGCGCGCCUAAUACAUGCAAGUCGAGCGAGAAGACGUAGCAAUACGUUUGUAAAGCGGCGAACGGGUGAGGAAUACAUGGGCAACCUACCCUCGAGUGGGGAAUAACUAGCCGAAAGGUUAGCUAAUACCGCGUACGCUCCUUGGACUUCGGUUCAGGGAGGAAAGCGAUACCGUGGGUAUCGCGCUCUUGGAUGGGCUCAUGUCCUAUCAGCUUGUUGGUGAGGUAACGGCUCACCAAGGCUUCGACGGGUAGCUGGUCUGAGAGGACGAUCAGCCACACUGGCACUGCGACACGGGCCAGACUCCUACGGGAGGCAGCAGUAAGGAAUAUUGCGCAAUGGGCGAAAGCCUGACGCAGCGACGCCGCGUGGGGGAUGAAGGU
This 396-nucleotide ribosomal RNA is filed under the name uncultured bacterium. Its description in RNAcentral is "bacterial SSU rRNA". It matches the Rfam family "Bacterial small subunit ribosomal RNA", at positions 29 to 415 of the family's 1533-position model. The record is from RNAcentral.